This 70-nucleotide transfer RNA is filed under the name Carettochelys insculpta (pitted-shelled turtle). Its description in RNAcentral is "tRNA-Arg". Lineage: Eukaryota; Metazoa; Chordata; Testudines; Carettochelyidae. The record is from RNAcentral.
AGAUAACUAGUCCAAUCAACAAGACAACUAAUUUCGACUUAGUUAAUCAUGAUAAACCCAUGGUUAUCUU